GUAGCAUAAUCACUUGCCCAUUAAUUGUGGGCUAGAAUGAAUGGAAAAACGAAGUAAUAGCUGUCUCUAGUAGUACCAUAAAAACUAAUCUUCCAGUGAAGAAGCUGAAAUAAAAUCACAGGACAAGAAGACCCUAUAGAGCUUUAUUUUUAAUACAUAUAUUAAAUGUAAAAAAAUUCAGUUGGGGCGACUAAGGAAAAAUCAUCCUAAAACAUAAAAGACUUACAAGUCAAUUAAAAGAUCCUAAAUAAUAGAUCAAAGAAAUAAGCUACCUUAGGGAUAACAGGCUAAUCCUCCUGGAAAGUCCAAAUUUAUAGGA
RNAcentral lists this ribosomal RNA (319 nucleotides) under Branchiodrilus sp. M5. Its description in RNAcentral is "partial large subunit ribosomal RNA". It matches the Rfam family "Bacterial large subunit ribosomal RNA", at positions 1956 to 2513 of the family's 2925-position model. The record is from RNAcentral. Lineage: Eukaryota; Metazoa; Annelida; Clitellata; Tubificida; Naididae.